GCGCCCGUAGCUCAAUUGGAUAGAGCGUCUGACUACGGAUCAGGAGGUUGGGAGUUCGAGUCCCCCCGGGCGCGCCA
Molecule: transfer RNA, 77 nt
Filed under: Alphaproteobacteria bacterium
Lineage: Bacteria; Pseudomonadati; Pseudomonadota; Alphaproteobacteria
Also listed under: 3 other names
Description: tRNA-Arg
Rfam family: tRNA
About the family: Transfer RNA (tRNA) molecules are approximately 80 nucleotides in length.
Source: RNAcentral